Long non-coding RNA from Corticium candelabrum, 1890 nucleotides. RefSeq lists it as uncharacterized. The transcript has 3 exons. NCBI's taxonomy places the organism in Eukaryota, Metazoa, Porifera, Homoscleromorpha, Homosclerophorida, Plakinidae. The record is from RefSeq and is a predicted model, not a curated record.
UAAUAGCUGGCAGCGUGGGAAAAAUCUUGAAUCUCGCUAACUAUACAUCGCAACAGAUAAUUCUGACAUCAUUAAGAAGUUAGUGAUGACGAGAAAACAAUAUAUAGAGCUUGUUUCUGAUCAGUAUUGUACAACUACAUAAUUGGCUACUUCCUGUAUAGCACGCGAUGUGAUUACGCCCUCAUGACCAAUUAGAACGACCACCCGUGACUUCACAACCGCCGCCAGGUCAAUUGUGGCAUUCUAAUCACUACAGGGGUCAUCUGUUCCAGAAACAAAGGAUUCUUCGCUUUCCGAAGUCUCUUCUUCUUCACGCCAUACUUCAAUGAGAACACGGUCGACCGCUUCUUCAACUAUCCCGUCAGUCUCUCGAUAGUGCUUUUCUACUUUUUGAAUGACGUGCUUGACACAGUUGGCCCAUUUCUCAGCUGUAACCUGCGUAAUGCCUUAGGAAGUUAGUGAUGACGAGAAGGAAAAUAUAUAGAGCUUGUUUCUGAUCAGUAUUGUACAACUACCUAAUUGGCUACUUCCUGUAUAGCACGCGAUGUGAUUACGCCCUCAUGACCAAUUAGAACGACCACCCGUGACUUCACACCCGCCGCCAGGUCAAUUGUGGCAUUCUAAUCACUACAGGGGUCAUCUGUUCCAGAAACAAAGGAUUCUUCGCUUUCCGAAGUCUCUUCUUCUUCACGCCUUACUUCAAUGAGAACACGGUCGACCGAUUCUUCAACUAUCCCGUCGGUCUCUCGAUAGUGCUUUUCUACUUUUUGAAUGACGUGCUUGACACAGUUGGCCCAUUUCUUAGCUGUAACCUGCGUAAUGCCUUCUCUCGCAAGCUACUCAAUUCCCGCCAUGGUGAAAUCCUUGUUAGGAGAUGCCGCAUAGCCCUUGACUUGUGGCCAGACCAGCUCGAUCGGGUUCAACUCGCAGUGACCGACAGGCAAUCUCAGAACGCCAUGACUGUGCUGACUAGCGAAGACGUCAGUCAGUUUCUUGUCGUAUGGGAUUUCAUGCGAAUCCAGAUACUGGAUUAUGUCCUUUUUUGAGCUGCUUUUUGUCGGGAUUUUCUCAACAACGCUAUUAAUGAUACAGUACUUGGCAUUGUCAAGAACAAUAACAGAAGUUGCUGGAAGGUUUGGAACCAACCUCUCUCUGAACCACUCCAAAAAGUGGGCCGUGUUCAUUUCCUGAUGGUAGUCACCGGUGCCUUUCUUUCCUCUGAAAACGAUCAUUAGAAAUCCAACCCUCUUUCCACCCUGCAUCGAGAAUAAUGAGUCUUCCACCGUUUCCUGAUGGGACUCUCAAACCUUCUUUGCCAUCGUAGUCAGUCCAGCAUCGUUCCAAGUGCUAAAAUCAGAUCCAUCGUUGGGAGUUCUCUGUCUGUGUAGAACCGGUGAAUUCUACGACGAAUGGCUCCUUGAAAGUUGUCAGUCUGCUGUUGGGCAGGACCUUUAUAAACCAGACUUCUUGCCUUUCUUUGCGGGACUAUGCUCAUCUCCUUCAACGUUUACUUGGCGAUGAACUCUGAAUACAGUGCGUUCAGGUACCUGCAUCGUCAUUGCCGUUCUUUUUGUUACACUUUCCAGCAUGAUUGGCCCAUCACGCUUCUCUUGCUCAAAGAAGGCAUGGAUGUUACAGAUCAUCCGUUUGUGAGAACUUCUGUAGGCAUCGAUCCUUUUUCUAGAACUUCUUCCUUGAAUUGUAUCUGAGCUAUCUGUAGGAAUAGCUACGGAUUUUGCAAUAACAGUUGAAGACAUUAUAGCAAAUGAGCAAGAAAACACCAAAAUUGAGAUACUGAAUAGAUUGAGUGUACUAUAUAGCUAAAUGUAUGCGUACAUGGAAUUUGUGGAUGUUACAUAUGACAUAGAGAAUGAAUGAUUCAUUACUGCA